Molecule: ribosomal RNA, 467 nt
Filed under: uncultured bacterium
Lineage: Bacteria
Description: partial 16S ribosomal RNA
Rfam family: Bacterial small subunit ribosomal RNA
Source: RNAcentral
GACGAACGCUGGCGGCGUGCUUAACACAGGCAAGUCGAACGUAAAGGCCCUGCUCUUGUGGGUUGCUCUAGUGGCGAACGGGUGUGUAACACGCGAGUACCCUUCCCUUGACUUUGAGAUAACUUCAGGAAACUGGGGCUAAUCCCGCAUAGGAGAUCCUGCUCCAUGGUGGGGGUUGGAAAGUUUCGUCGGUUGGGGAUGGACUCGCGGCUUACCACCUUGCUGGUGGGGUAGUGGCUUACCAAGGCUGUUACGGGUAGCCGGCCUGAGAGGGUGAGCGGCCACAUUGGGAAUGAGAUACGGCCCAGACUACUACGGGAGGCAGCAGUGGGGAAUAUUGAACAAUGGGUGGAAGCGUGAUGCAGCAACGCCGCGUGCGGGAUGACGGCCUUCGGGUUGUAAACCGCUUUCGCGUGUGACGAAGCGUGAGUGACGGUAAUGAGUAACGAAGCACCGGCUAACUACGU